Molecule: long non-coding RNA, 2668 nt
Filed under: Sorghum bicolor (sorghum)
Lineage: Eukaryota; Viridiplantae; Streptophyta; Magnoliopsida; Poales; Poaceae
Description: long non-coding RNA (SBIC_LNC005874)
Source: RNAcentral
AAUGUCUGAGGCUAGUUUGAGCUUCUUGGCACCCCUGCCCGAUCCAGGGCCUAAGCAAAUAAACGGCCUCUGAAUGUAACCACGGAUUCAAGUGACGAGGUUGUACACUAGCAUUCGCAUGUCAUGCGUAGUUGUACAUAAGACUGCAACUAGCUAAGCUACUAUGACUUACUCCCUUUGUUCAAAACUGUGAGUCGUUAUGACUUUUUUUUGCUAUGUAUAUAUAUUUAUAGACAUAAUGUAUAUAUAUUUAGGUGCUUAGUAGAAGCUACUCCCUCUGUCCUGUAAUAUAGUGUAUUCUAAAAAUUUUAAGACAAAUUAAGAGAGAGUAUCAAAGACGCAUGUACUCUUGUUUUAUUUCAUAAUCAGAUACUAUCAUCUAUGUGAUUGGUUAAUAAAUGAAAAAUAUUUAAUGCAAAAAUAAGUUUUGUUUUCCACAAUACAUUUAUAUUUGAAGAUAAAUCUUAAAUGCUAGCUAGAAUACAGUAUAUUAUAGAAAGGAGAGGGAGUAUGUAUCUAGAAAAUACAUAAUAACCACUUACAAUUUAUAAGAAUGGAUAGAGCAAAUGUCAACGGCAGGGGAGCUACAUGCAGUAGGUAACAAGACUUUGUAUCAGCGGAAGACAGGCCGGGCCGGCCGAGACCUGACCUGACCUGAAUGGAUCUGGCUCGCCUGUGCAUACAUCCAUCGCAUUGGUGCUUUUCUUUCAGUCUUUUCUUUUUGCCUGUUACCAUGAAAAGGAAAAAAAAAACAGUUUUCUACAGUAGGUCAGAAUCAGGUACCUAUAAUUGGGUGAAAAAAAAAGAAGGGAAGAGAUCGAAUACAAAAUCAGGUAACAACCAGGAUGCCUACUUUCCCUCUUAGUAAUCUCUAGUGUGCGAGUUGACUUUACUCCCUUCAUAUAUAUGUAAAUAAAGUUGUUUAGGACAGUGACACAAUCUCUAAAACUUAAAUUUGACUCUUUGUUUUUUAUCAAAAUAUUUAUAAAAAAUGAUAUAUAUAUAUAUAUGUAUAUUUUUAUAAAUGUAUUUUUUAAGACAAAUCUAUUCAUAGGAUUUUCACAUUUCCAAACUUAUCAACUUAAAAGUUAUUCAUGAUUUAUAUUUCCAAUGUUUAAAACUUUGUCCAAAAUGACUUUCUUUACGGGUACGAAGAGAGUAUAUAAUAAUUUGACUGGUUAGCUUAGCUAGUUACUACUAAUAAUGAAGUACUAGCUACAUCAGUUGUAUUCGAAUUAAAAUUACUUAGUAAUAUGGUGUGCUAAGCUGAACAAUGCAUGCUUGUUGAAUUACCUGGAAAGGAUCGAAGAACUCUUAGUAUAACCCAAAAAGCUGGUGAGAUAUAUAGCACUGCUAGCUGAUCUGAGAUGGAUCGAUAGCCCUUGAUCUCCAAUGCAGCAUCAUCAAGAUUCCCACACAUACACAUAUAUAUUCACAGAGGCAUAUAUGAUGCAGCAGCAGCUAAAACAUGUAGUAAAACUGCUAUUAAUGGCAGGCAAAGAAGGCGGCAGAGAUGCAUGUAUGCAUUUGCAAGCAGUGUGUGAAUCUUGAUGAUGCCACGCCAGAAAUCACCGGCUGAUGAUGAUAAUACAUCUCUCUCUCUCUCUCUCUCUCUCUCUCUCUCUCUCUCUCUCUCUCUCUCUCUCUCUCUCUCUCUCUCCAUAUACGUAUCGUCGUCUCCAGCUGCUAUAGAUUGCAGAUUUGCAUGCAUAUAUAGCGAGCCUAUAUAUACAGCCCAACAAUGAUACAUAGCAGAUCCAUAUGGAGGAAGAGAUGGGGAGGCAGGAAGGGAUCGAACAAAUAAGCUAAUUAAGUGAGCAAGCACCGUGCGUGCGUGUGUGUGUGUGUGCGCAUGUGCGCGCGCGCUGGAGACGAUGAAGAUGCAUAUAUAUGCUGCUCAUGCUCAUUUCCGGAUGACGAAUGGACCAGGUUAGAGAUAGAUAGAUAGAUAGAUAGAUAGAUAGAUAGAUAGAUAGAUAGAUAGAUAGAUAGAGCAUACAUGCAUGGCAUGGCUUGCAGCACACAAGCACGAUCCUCCGAUCCAUCUCUCUCUCUCUCUCUCUCUCUCUCUCUGCGUGUGUGUGUGUUUUCUCCCAAAAAUUAAGCUAUAUAUAUCUAUCUCUAGCUAAUAAUAAGAGCCUCAUCAGGUACGGUAGUGAUGAAUGAAUGAAGAACUUAGAACAAAGGAUGGAUGAUCGAUUGAUCGGACGACGGACGGACGGAUCGAGGGGAUACGAAAGAAUGAAAAAAAAAAAGCAGCUGGGACUAGGAGAGGGUUGCUUGCCUUGGCAUAUGUAUAUAUAUAAGCAGAGUACACACAAAGCAGCCGGAGAGGCCGUCAGAGCCAGAAAGGAACGAAUGAAGAAGCUAGCUAGCGACUAUAGUGAUGACUAAUAGCUAGCUAGUGACCUCUAAUAAUAAGCUAGCUGCAGGGCGCUGGGCUUGUUGUUGUAUGCUGCCUGUUGCGCAAACUUGCAUUGGGGCCGAGCCGGCCGGCCAUAUCUCAUGCAUGCAUAUGCUGUGCUGCACUAGUGUUUGAUGCAAUUCUUGUGCUGCUGGUGGGCUAGCUACCCGGCCAGAGCUUGCUUUAUCGUCUUUCACUGGCCAGAAUAAUGCAUGCAUCCUUCAUUAGUCAUGCGCAUAUUGUUAAUUUUGAUUCAGAUUGUAG